This is a long non-coding RNA of Megalobrama amblycephala (Wuchang bream), 652 nucleotides long. RefSeq lists it as uncharacterized. The transcript has 5 exons. The record is from RefSeq and is a predicted model, not a curated record. Lineage: Eukaryota; Metazoa; Chordata; Actinopteri; Cypriniformes; Xenocyprididae.
UAUCUCUGAUUGUGUUCAUCAGAAAGAAGAAAGUCGUACACACCUAGGAUGGCUUGAGGGAUGGACCCAAGGAGAUCUAUAAUACCUGGAGAGAGCUGUCAGUUAGCAUUCCCAUUGAUCUUCUGCAUUUCUCGGCAGGAUUCCCUGCCGUCGUUGCUCCUGGGCUCAGUCCUGGAUGCAGAAAUGAAAUGGCAAAAAUGUGAAAACUACAUUCUGUACAAAUAUGCUGAAAUAUGAUAUCAUAUUACUGAGGGAGGAAUGAGAGAACAGACCUGUGAGCCAUUUUUGGGUUGUGACCCUCCAGAGAACCACCGCUCUCCACCACAAAUGUCAGAACUGUUAGGAUUUAGCAGAAGAUCUCUGAAAACAACAAAGUGAGAAAUGUGUCCUUCAUAAGGUCUUUUACUCACACAAAGCUACAGCUUGAGAAGAUUUGGAAUAAAGUGCACAUGUUAUAGACCACUUUUUUUUUAGCUAUUUUCACAACUUGGCAGUCACCAUUUAUGAAGUACAUUUUGACAAAAUUAAAACUUUCUUCUGAACGGUUCUUUUAGCUGUGCAUUGUGCAAUAGAAGCAUUCCAUUAAACAUAGAGUUUUAAUUUUAAACACAUAUUCAGCUGGUGUAAUGUAGAAGUAAAGAACAUACUUAGA